Molecule: ribosomal RNA, 253 nt
Filed under: uncultured bacterium
Lineage: Bacteria
Description: partial 16S ribosomal RNA
Rfam family: Bacterial small subunit ribosomal RNA
Source: RNAcentral
AACGUAGGUGGCAAGCGUUGUUCGGAAUUACUGGGCGUAAAGGGCUCGUAGGUGGCCAACUAAGUCAGACGUGAAAUCCCUCGGCUUAACCGGGGAACUGCGUCUGAUACUGGAUGGCUUGAGUUUGGGAGAGGGACGCGGAAUUCCAGGUGUAGCGGUGAAAUGCGUAGAUAUCUGGAGGAACACCGGUGGCGAAGGCGGCGUCCUGGACCGGUAUUGACGCUGAGGCGCGAAAGCCAGGGGAGCAAACGGG